CCUACGGGCGGCUGCAGUGGGGAAUAUUGGACAAUGGGGGAAACCCUGAUGCAGCGACGCCGCGUGAGGGAUGAAGUUUUUCGGAUCGUAAACUUCUGUCGCGAGGGACGAAAAAUAACGUUACCUAGUAAGAAAGCCCCGGCUAACAACGUCCAAGCAGCCGCGGAAAUACGUAGGGGGAAAGCUUUGUCCGGAAUGACUGGGUGUAAAGGGAGCGUAGGCGGCGCAGCAAGUUAGAUGUGAAAUCCCGUGGCUUAACCGCGGAACUGCAUCGAAAACUGGUAAGCUGGAGUGCAGGAGAGGUGAGUGGAAUUCCUAGUGUAGCGGUGGAAUGCGUAGAUAUUAGGAGGAACACCAGAGGCGAAGGCGACUCACUGGACUGUAACUGACGUUGAGGCUCGAAAGCGUGGGGAGCAAACAGGAUUAGAUACCCCUGUAGUC
This 441-nucleotide ribosomal RNA is filed under the name uncultured bacterium. Its description in RNAcentral is "partial 16S ribosomal RNA". It matches the Rfam family "Bacterial small subunit ribosomal RNA", at positions 338 to 795 of the family's 1533-position model. The record is from RNAcentral.